AACGAACGCUGGCGGCAUGCCUAACACAUGCAAGUCGAACGAGACCUUCGGGUCUAGUGGCGCACGGGUGCGUAACGCGUGGGAAUCUGCCCUUGGGUUCGGAAUAACAGUUAGAAAUGACUGCUAAUACCGGAUAAUGUCUUCGGACCAAAGAUUUAUCGCCCAGGGAUGAGCCCGCGUAGGAUUAGCUAGUUGGUGAGGUAAAGGCUCACCAAGGCGACGAUCCUUAGCUGGUCUGAGAGGAUGAUCAGCCACACUGGGACUGAGACACGGCCCAGACUCCUACGGGAGGCAGCAGUGGGGAAUAUUGGACAAUGGGCGAAAGCCUGAUCCAGCAAUGCCGCGUGAGUGAUGAAGGCCUAGGGUUGUAAAGCUCUUUUACCCGGGAUGAUAAUGACAGUACCGGGAGAAUAAAGCUCCGGCUAACUCCGUGCCAGCAGCCGCGGUAAU
Molecule: ribosomal RNA, 450 nt
Filed under: uncultured bacterium
Lineage: Bacteria
Description: bacterial SSU rRNA
Rfam family: Bacterial small subunit ribosomal RNA
Source: RNAcentral